AGCGGACGCUGGCGGCAGGCCUAAUACAUGCAAGUCGAGCGGUCCCUUCGGGGGCAGCGGCGGACGGGUGAGUAACGCGUGGGAACGUGCCCUUUGGUACGGAACAACUGAGGGAAACUUCAGCUAAUACCGUAUGUGCCCUUCGGGGGAAAGAUUUAUCGCCAUUGGAGCGGCCCGCGUUGGAUUAGGUAGUUGGUGAG
RNAcentral lists this ribosomal RNA (200 nucleotides) under uncultured bacterium. RNAcentral describes it as "partial 16S ribosomal RNA". It matches the Rfam family "Bacterial small subunit ribosomal RNA", at positions 29 to 256 of the family's 1533-position model. The record is from RNAcentral.